This 560-nucleotide long non-coding RNA is filed under the name Capsicum annuum. RNAcentral describes it as "long non-coding RNA (CANN_LNC000616)". Lineage: Eukaryota; Viridiplantae; Streptophyta; Magnoliopsida; Solanales; Solanaceae. The record is from RNAcentral.
ACUAUAAUUACUUGUUCCCCCUACAUCCUCAUGCUCAACCUGCGUUGUGCCAAACAAGUUCGUCAUCAAUAUCAAGCAACAUUUUCAACAAAAUAUCACACAUCCUAUGAAUAAAUUGUGACUUCUUCCUUAUCAUCUCGUGUGUUCUUUCACUAGCCUCGACUAGAGCAAUCACAAAAUCAAAAUCCCAAUCCUUUCUUCUAAACUAUCCGUCUCAGCUAUCUGCAACAUUGCACCCACCAGUCCACUAUUUGCUUCCUCAAGAACCUUGGAUCAGUCCCUGCUAAUUCAAUCAACAAUUCCUCAAUGUUUCUUAAGUUGUAGCCUCUUGACCACUGUUCAUUGCCUCAGUCAACAUCCUAUCAUCGAUGGCAAUAAGUCCUGAAACUUUUUCCCAAUCACUCAAGCUCGAUAAAAAACUCAACAAAAUUCACAACAGCACUCAAUGUAGCUAUCCUAACAUCCAGGUACAGGGAACUACUCAACGUAUGCAAGAACACCAAAUCCAGUACAAUUAAUAUUUCACCCACUUACUAUGUAAAUUUAUUGAAUCAGAAGUA